Molecule: ribosomal RNA, 253 nt
Filed under: uncultured bacterium
Lineage: Bacteria
Description: partial 16S ribosomal RNA
Rfam family: Bacterial small subunit ribosomal RNA
Source: RNAcentral
UACGGAGGGGGCAAGCGUUGCUCGGAUUCACUGGGCGUAAAGCGCACGUAGGCGGCCACUUAAGUCCGUGGUGAAAUCCUGGAGCUCAACUCCAGAACUGCCUUCGAUACUGAGAGUCUCGAGUCCGAGAGAGGUAAGUGGAACUGCGAGUGUAGAGGUGAAAUUCGUAGAUAUUCGCAAGAACACCAGUGGCGAAGGCGGCUCGCUGGCUCGGUACUGACGCUGAGGUGCGAAAGCGUGGGGAGCAAACAGG